Molecule: ribosomal RNA, 253 nt
Filed under: uncultured bacterium
Lineage: Bacteria
Description: partial 16S ribosomal RNA
Rfam family: Bacterial small subunit ribosomal RNA
Source: RNAcentral
UACGGGGGGGGCAAGCGUUGUUCGGAAUUACUGGGCGUAAAGGGCUCGUAGGUGGCCAACUAAGUCAGACGUGAAAUCCCUCGGCUUAACCGGGGAACUGCGUCUGAUACUGGAUGGCUUGAGAUUGGGAGAGGGAUGCGGAAUUCCAGGUGUAGCGGUGAAAUGCGUAGAUAUCAGGAGGAAUACCGAUGGCGAAGGCAGGUCUCUGGGCUGACACUGACGCUCAUGCACGAAAGCGUGGGGAGCAAACAGG